CACCAAGUCAAGGGAGAAAAGAAAAAAUGAGCCAACUAAUUAGCUUGACCCAAUCCUAUUGAGGCACUCAAUGUGGUGCCCCUCUAGAUCCAAAUAGAUUAGGUUAGGAAUAAGGCAAUUGAUUUGAUAUAAAUCUUAUCUAAUAAAGAAUCAAAUCCAAAGAAGAAAUUGGGUUUAACCAUAUGCUAGCAUAGUGCACCUAAACCCAAUAGGAUUUCACCAAAACGUAAUCUAAUUGUGACUUCACAAGCCCAAUUGGCCAAUCC
RNAcentral lists this long non-coding RNA (266 nucleotides) under Elaeis guineensis (African oil palm). RNAcentral describes it as "long non-coding RNA (EGUI_LNC020548)". Lineage: Eukaryota; Viridiplantae; Streptophyta; Magnoliopsida; Arecales; Arecaceae. The record is from RNAcentral.